This 72-nucleotide transfer RNA is filed under the name Diaphorina citri (Asian citrus psyllid). It matches the Rfam family "tRNA". Rfam says of the family: Transfer RNA (tRNA) molecules are approximately 80 nucleotides in length. Their secondary structure includes four short double-helical elements and three loops (D, anti-codon, and T loops). Further hydrogen bonds mediate the characteristic L-shaped molecular structure. tRNAs have two regions of fundamental functional importance: the anti-codon, which is responsible for specific mRNA codon recognition, and the 3' end, to which the tRNAs corresponding amino acid is attached (by aminoacyl-tRNA synthetases). tRNAs cope with the degeneracy of the genetic code in two manners: having more than one tRNA (with a specific anti-codon) for a particular amino acid; and 'wobble' base-pairing, i.e. permitting non-standard base-pairing at the 3rd anti-codon position. The record is from Rfam by way of RNAcentral. Lineage: Eukaryota; Metazoa; Arthropoda; Insecta; Hemiptera; Psyllidae.
GCUCCCAUGGCGUAGUGGUCACUGCACUCGCCUUGCACGCGGGAGACCCGGGUUCGAUUGUCGGCGGGGUCA